Amphiprion ocellaris (clown anemonefish) is the source of this 2149-nucleotide long non-coding RNA. RefSeq lists it as uncharacterized. NCBI's taxonomy places the organism in Eukaryota, Metazoa, Chordata, Actinopteri, Pomacentridae. The record is from RefSeq and is a predicted model, not a curated record. The transcript has 3 exons.
UGUUUGUGGUCUUUCUGUUUCUUGGUGGAAGCUGAAUUAGUGAGGAUGACUCCUGCUCCUGUCAUCUCUAAGCUCCUCACACAUCUUUACCUGCACAUGAGGAAAAUCACUCCUGUAGAAUGCAGAUGUUCAGAGGGAGAUGAUGCCACAUCUGGUCCAGCCGAUGGAAGGUCUUGAAGUUCUCUGACUGGCCUCGACUGAAGAUGAUCCUCUCACUGGAUUUAAGGUUCAGAUGCUCCAGUAACAAAACUCACCAAUGUGCCAACAGGGAAGCUUUAGGUUUAUUAAAUGUUACUAUGAAGGUUUCGCUGUUUUUCUUUGUGAAUGCAAUGUGCUCCAACUGAAACUUGAAUUAGAACUUAGAAGUAAAUCCUUCCAUCUGAAAGGAUUUAGUUGCAUUAAUAACCUCAUAACAUUCUAAUUUUUAUUCCAGUCUUGGUUGGAAAUAGAAUCUCUGUAUUGAUUCAGGUAAAAACUGAACUUCACAGCAUGUUGGAGCAAAACAACCAGAUGAAAACUGUGAUGGUGUUGGAUUGUCAGACCGUAAUGUUGCAGCUCAAAGCAGAUUUUCUAGCUCAGUUCAUUGUGACAUUCAGCUAUGAAUCAACACAGCAGAUGGUGAUCCAUGCUGUGGAAGUCUCACAUCUCCUGAUUUAAUGGAGCUGCUUUGCACUUUUUACACUGUUUAUUCACCAACACUUUAUUUAAUAAAAGUCCCAUCUAGUUUUUAUGAGGAAUGUGAUGUUUUAAUUUCUCUGAAUAACUGCAGUCUAAUGCAACAGCUGGAGUUGUAACAUCUGUCCUGAUAUUGAUCAUGAAGUAUUGAUCAGAAUGAUCAGAUGAGUUUGUUUUUACUGCCAGCUACCAUUCAGUCUGAGAUACUAAGAAUAAAUAAAUAUGCAUAAUGUGGAAAUGAACAGAUUCGAUUUUUAUUUAUUCCUACAGCUCCUGCAGGUUCCAAAGUUCCAGAAUGUGGAGGAAUUUAGUCUCACAAUCACAGACAAUAAAUAUCAUUUGAAAGUUGGGUUAUUGUUGUUUAUCAGCACAAUACAAAAAGGUUAAUGUUAGAAAUAUUCCAGUUAAGACUCUAGAAUAUCAAGAUUUAUGUAAAUUUACCUCAAUAAUAUAAAUGUUCAGGUUAAGAUUGUGCAGUGAUAUUUAUUAUGUAAGUUUAGCUGAUUAAAGUUUAUGACUCUGCACUACAAUAUUAUUUAUUAUUUAAAUUUACACCAUUAUAAUAUUUAGGGUCAGACCCUACAGUAUUGAGGUUAAGAAAUCAAAUAUUCUAUAAAAUGUAAAUACACUGAACUCAUUUGGAUAUAUUUAAGUGAGACUCUACAAUAUUAUUUGACACAAAUCUAUCUAAAUCAAAAUUUUAAUUUUCAUGCCAAACAUUUACUGGUUUAAAUAUUAAAAUCACUCCUUUCUAAUCCUCUGCUGUACGUUCAAAACUGAGGCCUGACAUAGAAACACACAAGUAUCUGAUUGAAGGAACUUCUGCAGAGUCCUGGUUCCAGAACAUGAUGAUAGAAUUAUAGACAAACUUUAACAAAAGCUGCCUGAGAGUUUACAGGUUUUUAUCUUAGAUUUCUUCAGUGAUUUAAUGAGUUAUCAGCAAAAAUCAAGUGUUCAUUUGAUGAACUUCAUUUCCUAAAACAUCCAGAAUUGGAGCUCAUAUCUUUGGCAGCUGUAAAGUUUCUGCUCCUUCAAAGUUCACAACACAAUGAAUAAAUUCCUAAAACACUCUCAAUGCUGGAGAGCGUUUGUGAUGCUGAAGCAGUGAUCAGUUUUUCUGUUUCUUCUCUGGAGAUGCACAAUGAGGGACGUCUGCAGCGACUGAGAAAGAGUCUCACCACAUCCUUACAUGAGGAAGAAGACUUUAUUGAAGACUACAAUGAGAAAAACUAUCAGACAGCAGAUGGCUGCAUUCAAGUCUGUAGCUGCUGAAUUCAUGGAUGAAUCAUCUGGCACUAGAGAAGAAGACCAUCAAACAUCCACGUCAGCUGAUGGAGGUCCAAGAGUCUCACCAAACAAACAACCUACAGAGUGAAGACCUCAAAUCUGAUUGGACGGCCUCCUAUUCAGCCACGUGUGAACAAAUGCCUCUAAGUUGAUUUGUUUUCUAAAAUAAAUCUAGUUUGAGUCCUAA